RNAcentral lists this ribosomal RNA (497 nucleotides) under uncultured bacterium. RNAcentral describes it as "partial 16S ribosomal RNA". It matches the Rfam family "Bacterial small subunit ribosomal RNA", at positions 28 to 507 of the family's 1533-position model. The record is from RNAcentral.
GAUGAACGCUGGCGGCGUGCCUAAUACAUGCAAGUCGAGCGAACAGACGAGGAGCUUGCUCCUCUGACGUUAGCGGCGGACGGGUGAGUAACACGUGGAUAACCUACCUAUAAGACUGGGAUAACUUCGGGAAACCGGAGCUAAUACCGGAUAAUAUAUUGAACCGCAUGGUUCAAUAGUGAAAGACGGUUUUGCGGUCACUUAUAGAUGGAUCCGCGCCGCAUUAGAUAGUUGUUAAGGUAACGGCUUACCAAGGCAACGAGGCGUAGACGACGUGAGAGGGUGAUCGGCCACACUGGAACUGAGACAGGGUCCAGACUCCUACGGGAGGCAGCAGUAGGGAAUCGUCCGCAAUGGGCGAAAGCUUGACGGAGCAACGCCGCGUGAGUGAUGAAGGUCUUCGGAUCGUAAAACUCUGUUAUUAGGGAAGAACAAAUGUGUAAGUAACUAUGCACGUCUUGACGGUACCUAAUCAGAAAGCAACGGCUAACUACGUG